AGAGAGAGGGACAACAAACAGAUCCAGAUAGAGAGGGACAACAAACAGAUCCAGAGAGGGAGGGACAACAAACAGAUCCAGAGAGAGAGAGAGAGGGACAACAAACAGAUCCAGAGAGAGAGGCAGGGACAACAAACAGAUCCAGAGAGAGAGAGGGACAACAAACAGAUCCAGAGAGGGAGGGACAACAAACAGAUCCAGAGAGAGAGAGAGAGGGACAACAAACAGAUCAAGAGAGAGAGAGAGAGGGGGACAACAAAUAGAUCCAGAGAGAGAGGGACAACAAACAGAUCCAGAGAGAGAGAGAGACAACAAACAGAUCCAGAGAGAGAGAGAGAGACAACAAACAGAUCCAGAGAGGGAGGGACAACAAACAGAUCCAGAGAGAGAGAGGGACAACAAACUGAUCCAGAGAGAAAGAGAGGGACAACAAACAGAUCCAGAGAGAGAGGGACAACAAACAGAUCCAGAGAGAGAGGGACAACAAACAGAUCCAGAGAGAGAGGGACAACAAACAGAUCCAGAGAGGGAGGGACAACAAACAGAUCCAGAGAGAGAGAGAGAGAGGGACAACAAACAGAUCCAGAGAGAGAGAG
Long non-coding RNA from Oncorhynchus tshawytscha (Chinook salmon), 596 nucleotides. The record is from Ensembl. Lineage: Eukaryota; Metazoa; Chordata; Actinopteri; Salmoniformes; Salmonidae.